UGGGGAAUAUUGGACAAUGGGGGCAACCCUGAUCCAGCCAUGCCGCGUGAGUGAUGAAGGCCUUCGGGUUGUAAAGCUCUUUUGGCGGGGACGAUGAUGACGGUACCCGCAGAAUAAGCCCCGGCUAACUUCGUGCCAGCAGCCGCGGUAAGACGAAGGGGGCAAGCGUUGUUCGGAAUUACUGGGCGUAAAGGGCGCGUAGGCGGUUUGCUUAGUCAGGCGUGAAAGCCCUGGGCUUAACCUGGGAUGUGCGCUUGAUACUGGCAGGCUUGAGUGUGGGAGAGGUUGGUGGAAUUCCCAGUGGAGAGGUGAAAUUCGUAGAUAUUGGGAAGAACACCGGUGGCGAAGGCGGCCAACUGAACCACAACUGACGCUGAGGCGCGAAAGCGUGGGGA
RNAcentral lists this ribosomal RNA (395 nucleotides) under uncultured bacterium. RNAcentral's name for it is "bacterial SSU rRNA". It matches the Rfam family "Bacterial small subunit ribosomal RNA", at positions 355 to 767 of the family's 1533-position model. The record is from RNAcentral.